UCAGAAGUGCGAAUGCUGACAUAAGUAACGAUAAAGCGGGUGAAAAGCCCGCUCGCCGGAAGACCAAGGGUUCCUGUCCAACGUUAAUCGGGGCAGGGUGAGUCGACCCCUAAGGCGAGGCCGAAAGGCGUAGUCGAUGGGAAACGGGUUAAUAUUCCCGUACUUGGUGUUACUGCGAAGGGGGGACGGAGAAGGCUAUGUUGGCCGGGCGACGGUUGUCCCGGUUUAAGCGUGUAGGUGUGUGUUCCAGGUAAAUCCGGUUCACUUUAACACUGAGGCGUGACGACGAGGCACUACGGUGCUGAAGCAACAAAUGCCCUGCUUCCAGGAAAAGCCUCUAAGCAUCAGGUAACAUCAAAUCGUACCCCAAACCGACACAGGUGGUCAGGUAGAGAAUACCAAGGCGCUUGAGAGAACUCGGGUGAAGGAACUAGGCAAAAUGGUGCCGUAACUUCGGGAGAAGGCACGCUGACAC
This 475-nucleotide ribosomal RNA is filed under the name Salmonella enterica subsp. enterica serovar Abony. RNAcentral describes it as "partial 23S ribosomal RNA". It matches the Rfam family "Bacterial large subunit ribosomal RNA", at positions 1282 to 1757 of the family's 2925-position model. RNAcentral also lists the same sequence under 1 other name. The record is from RNAcentral. Lineage: Bacteria; Pseudomonadati; Pseudomonadota; Gammaproteobacteria; Enterobacterales; Enterobacteriaceae.